Long non-coding RNA from Xenopus laevis (African clawed frog), 503 nucleotides. RefSeq lists it as uncharacterized. The transcript has 2 exons. The record is from RefSeq and is a predicted model, not a curated record. Lineage: Eukaryota; Metazoa; Chordata; Amphibia; Anura; Pipidae.
CAGAAUUCUAUGGGAAUUAUUUGAUUAGCAACGAGGCAGCAAAACUGUGAUCUGUUCUUUGGCUGCGCUUUGAUGAUAGAAUGUCGGAAUGAUUAGAUUCUUUCUCACUUUCUCACUGGGGCGAUUACGUACAGGAGCCGGAGAUGUACACAGUUUAGAGCCAAUUUGAGACUGAAUAAAACACAAGUCUAGCAAAUAUCUUAGGAGAACAUGGCAACAAUAGGGCAAAAUAGUGCAGCAUUGGACUGGGGAUAUUACCCAGAAUCCCUGGCUGUGAGGGAAGAGCUGGUGCCGUGUGAUUAUGAGGUAAAAUGGGAUAUUACCCAGAAUCCCUGGCUGUGAGGGAAGAGCUGGUGCCGUGUGAUUAUGAGGUAAAAUGGGAUAUUACCCAGAAUCCCUGGCUGUGAGGGAAGAGCUGGGUGCCGUGUGAUUAUGAGGUAAAAUGGGAUAUUACCCAGAAUCCCUGGCUGUGAGGGAAGAGCUGGGUGCCGUGUGAUUAUGGG